This 547-nucleotide ribosomal RNA is filed under the name uncultured bacterium. RNAcentral's name for it is "partial 16S ribosomal RNA". It matches the Rfam family "Bacterial small subunit ribosomal RNA", at positions 355 to 895 of the family's 1533-position model. The record is from RNAcentral.
UGGGGAAUUUUGGACAAUGGGCGAAAGCCUGAUCCAGCAAUGCCGCGUGUGUGAAGAAGGCCUUCGGGUUGUAAAGCACUUUUGUCCGGAAAGAAAUCCUUGGCUCUAAUACAGUCGGGGGAUGACGGUACCGGAAGAAUAAGCACCGGCUAACUACGUGCCAGCAGCCGCGGUAAUACGUAGGGUGCAAGCGUUAAUCGGAAUUACUGGGCGUAAAGCGUGCGCAGGCGGUUUGCUAAGACCGAUGUGAAAUCCCCGGGCUCAACCUGGGAACUGCAUUGGUGACUGGCAGGCUAGAGUAUGGCAGAGGGGGGUAGAAUUCCACGUGUAGCAGUGAAAUGCGUAGAGAUGUGGAGGAAUACCGAUGGCGAAGGCAGCCCCCUGGGCCAAUACUGACGCUCAUACACGAAAGCGUGGGGAGCAAACAGGAUUAGAUACCCUGGUAGUCCACGCCCUAAACGAUGUCAACUAGUUGUUGGGGAUUCAUUUCCUUAGUAACGUAGCUAACGCGUGAAGUUGACCGCCUGGGGAGUACGGUCGCAAGAUU